CCUACGGGGGGCAGCAGUGAGGAAUAUUGGACAAUGGUCGGAAGACUGAUCCAGCCAUGCCGCGUGCAGGAUGAAGGUCUUAUGGAUUGUAAACUGCUUUUGUAAGGGAAGAAUAAGGGCUACGCGUAGUUUGAUGACGGUACCUUAUGAAUAAGCAUCGGCUAACUCCGUGCCAGCAGCCGCGGUAAUACGGAGGAUGCGAGCGUUAUCCGGAAUCAUUGGGUUUAAAGGGUCUGUAGGCGGGCUUGUAAGUCAGAGGUGAAAGCGCUCAGCUCAACUGAGCAACUGCCUUUGAAACUGUUGGUCUUGAAUGGUUGUGAAGUAGUUGGAAUGUGUAGUGUAGCGGUGAAAUGCUUAGAUAUUACACAGAACACCGAUAGCGAAGGCAUAUUACUAACAAUUAAUUGACGCUGAUGGACGAAAGCGUGGGGAGCGAACAGGAUUAGAUACCCGGGUAGUC
RNAcentral lists this ribosomal RNA (460 nucleotides) under uncultured Capnocytophaga sp. RNAcentral describes it as "bacterial SSU rRNA". It matches the Rfam family "Bacterial small subunit ribosomal RNA", at positions 338 to 795 of the family's 1533-position model. Lineage: Bacteria; Pseudomonadati; Bacteroidota; Flavobacteriia; Flavobacteriales; Flavobacteriaceae. The record is from RNAcentral.